Non-coding RNA from Manis javanica (Malayan pangolin), 3009 nucleotides. The record is from RefSeq and is a predicted model, not a curated record. Lineage: Eukaryota; Metazoa; Chordata; Mammalia; Pholidota; Manidae.
UUCGCCACACUCCCCAGCCUAGGGUGUCAGCCCCUGCUGCAAGCAAAAGCCAGGCAGCAUUUUUGCUGAUUAAGCCACUGGUAAAGAGAACUGAGAAGCAGUUUCAAUUUAACCACGGGGAUUAAAAGUCACCACCAACAAUUGCCCAGUUGCUAGCAUGGUGGGCAGUGGGAGGAGGGCCAAGGAGGCCAACCCCUCUGCUUUAUCUUCAUCUACUUUCUAAGGUCUGAUAGCAGUUUGGUAAUUUGGUGAGAUGAGAACACGGCUCCCUGGAACCUCUGACUCUUCAGCAGUCACCUGCUUAUCUUCUCUCUGCACAAGCCUCACUUCCCCCAGGAUCUCAGAGACUGGGGCAAAGGCUGCCUAAUUUACCAUGAGAUUCAGGCUGUUACCUUCUUAAAAGGAGGAACCCAACUUCAUAUCCCUGGCAUUUAUUACCUAACACUCUGGAAGCAAUGAAUAGAUCCCGCUCGGGUCUGUGUGCCCAUACGGCGCGGUGUGGUCCAGCCUGUGCUGAAAGAGCCUGCAACAGCUUGGUAGGUCAGCAGUUUUCCUGGGAACAAGGCAAUAUGCUGCUAAGGAUUAUCUCAUCAGCACCAGAAUAGGCUCAAGUGCCCAACUAACUAAAAAAUGUAAUUAAAACCAGAACAGUGUGUUUCCACAUGCAAAGACUAAGGGAAGUCUGUAGGGAGGUGAGCUUUCUUCAAGCAUGCCUCUUGAGGACAUAUAUUUGAACAUGCCCAAAAUAGAAAAGGCAAAUCAGAAUAUAUAUAUGCUUUAAAUAGAUGAAACUCUUGUUAUAUGCGAAAGAAAAUGGUGUUUCAGCAGUGUCUCAAUUCUCCAUUUCUUUUAGGAUGUCAAGAUGCCAUCCAUGUAAGUUUUAGAGUAACUUUAUCUUGUAUUCAACAUUGAUAAACAUUCUUUUAAAAAUACAAAAUAUUUACGUGUUAUGCUAAGUGAAAGAAAGUCUCAAAUCGGUAUACACUGUAUGAUUCCUUUUUUGUACCAUUUGGAAAGGCAAAAAUAUAAACAGUACAGAUAAGUGGUUGCCAACAUUUGGGGUAGAGGGAGCUUGAAGGUAUUCUUCAGGAUAUUAAAAUUAGUCUGUAUCUUGCCAUAGUGGUGGUUAUAAGAACCCAUGCAGGUGUAAAACUCAUUAACCUACACAUUAUAGAAGUAAAUUUUGCUGUACAGAAAAUUUUUUAAUUGGUUUAGAAAUCAUUUGAGUGUCUACUGUGUAUAUUAUGAUAGGGAGAUUCUCCUUGCUAUUAUAAUGCUGGAUAUUCAGCCUCUAGUCUUAGUCAGCAUCACUACCGCAUUAUUCCUUGAACAUCAUUAGAAGACUAUGCCAGCAUUACAAUUUCCAGCACUGUUACAACAUCAUUACUUCAGUGUCACCUCAGCUCCAUUAGUCUCUUACUUAAAUAAUAUAACUCAAGCUAGAGUAACUAAUGGUUGAUGUGAAGCAUCUACUUUUCCCAUUUUCCUGACUUUCACUCUGUUUCUCUAGCUUUUCAGCCAUGAUUUUUGAAUACACAGCUAAGCAAGAUGCAUAAAUUAAUCUUCAUUACCUUACAGCAAAAGGAUAUGCCUCACCACAAACUCUUAACUUUUCCUUCACUCUUCCUUCUUUAAAAGAAUAACUAGAAAUUGUAAGAAAUUCUUAUUUGCACAUUUUUGAGAAACAGUUUGUCCUGUAAAUGGGCAUCAAUGAUACUAUGAUAUAUGAAUGUGGAGGGCAUUAAGCUGAGUUAAAUGAGCCUGACAGAAAAAGACAAAUACUGUAUGGUGUCACUUCUGUGAGGAAUCUUUUUUUUUUUUAAGCCAAUUUCAUAUGGAUGAUAGAAUGGUGGUUGCCAGGAGGCCAGUGGAGGGGGAAAUAAGAGCUGUAGGUCAAAGGGUAUAAGCUUUCAGUUAUAAGAUGAAUAAAUUCUGAGGAUCUCAUGUACAGCAUGGUUACUAUAGUUAAUAACACAGUAUGGUAUAGUUGAAAUUUGCUCAGAAUAGAUCUUAAGCAUUUUCACCAAAAAAGAAAAAAUAAACAGUUAACCAUGUGAGGUAUUGGACGUACUAAUUAUCCUGAUCUUGGUAAUCAUUCCACGAUGUACAUGUAUAUCAAAUUGCCACACUGUAUACUUUAAAUACAUACAGUUAUAUUUAUAAUUAAUUGUUUCUUAAUGAAGUUGGAAAAAAUAAAAUCAGCUUUUCAAGUUCAAAACAAAUGUGAAGCUAUGAAUAGAGUCUGAAGGAGACUUUCAUAUACUGCUUCUGUCCUCAUUCUCUUUGUUUCUCUUACACGUUUGUGAUUUUCAAGUUGUUAAUGCAACCUAGUAUUUUAUGUACACAAUUACCAUAUCACAUCUUCAAACCCAGAGUCAAAAUCAGAGGGAAAAGACUUCUCACUUCCAUUUAUUGUAGAUCCAGAUGUCCACACUCCUAACUCCUCUACCUGAAAACACUUCUACUGUGAGCAUUUUCUAUUUUUCUGUGUGUCUGGGAGCACGAGAGUCCAUAUCUGCUCUUCCAUUUAAAGGCCAACUCCUAUAAAUCCUGCACUAAUAGCAAAUCCCCAAAGUAAACCUCAGGAAGAGAAACUCCACUCUCGUGUGUCGUAGGGUCCCACUGAGCGUCUCUGGACACCUUCCCUAACUGGCUCCUAGUGCUUAGUAUUUGAACUCUAUCCUUGAGAACAGUGUAUUCCUACCUCUUCUCAGGUGCCCUCCAUCCCCUGCUAUCUUGUUCUUUUCCAUCAUGGUGACUCCAUUUCCUCCUACAUCAGAGACUCUGAACUUUUCUUGAAGACUUGCCUGUUCUGACCCCUGUCUUCCAGUUUCUUACUCCCUGACGUGAGCAGAGUCUUUCGCUCUAUGAGUUGCCUACAUUCUCCGGAGUGCACUGAUGGGAAGUGAAUCUCAGUGUUCUUCCAAAUCCUCAGUCAUUCUCUCCAAGGGAAGAGAGAAAUCUCUGGGUAUCCUUCCAGAACUUUCUCUGUAUAUACAUGCUCUACAC